This 250-nucleotide ribosomal RNA is filed under the name uncultured prokaryote. Its description in RNAcentral is "partial 16S ribosomal RNA". It matches the Rfam family "Bacterial small subunit ribosomal RNA", at positions 524 to 773 of the family's 1533-position model. The record is from RNAcentral.
UACGUAGGGGGCAAGCGUUAUCCGGAUUUACUGGGUGUAAAGGGAGCGUAGACGGCGAAGCAAGUCUGAAGUGAAAAUCCGGGGCUCAACCCCGGAAGUGCUUUGGAAACUGUUUUGCUGGAGUGUCGGAGAGGUAAGUGGAAUUCCUGGUGUAGCGGUGAAAUGCGUAGAUAUCAGGAAGAACACCGGAGGCGAAGGCGGCUUACUGGACGAUAACUGACGUUGAGGCUCGAAAGCGUGGGAAGCAAAC